RNAcentral lists this ribosomal RNA (254 nucleotides) under uncultured bacterium. RNAcentral's name for it is "partial 16S ribosomal RNA". It matches the Rfam family "Bacterial small subunit ribosomal RNA", at positions 524 to 776 of the family's 1533-position model. The record is from RNAcentral.
GACGAAGGUGGCGAGCGUUGUUCGGAAUCACUGGGCUUAAAGCGCGUGUAGGCGGCCCGGCACGUCCGUCGCUGAAAUCCCCCGGCUCAACCGGGGAAGGGGCGCGGAUACGACCGGGCUGGAGGGGGGUAGGGGGAGCCGGAACUUCCGGUGGAGCGGUGAAAUGCGUUGAUAUCGGGAGGAACUCCGGCGGCGAAAGCGGUGCACUGGUGGAUUACUGACGCUGAGGUGCGAAAGCCAGGGGAGCAAACGGG